This 668-nucleotide long non-coding RNA is filed under the name Homo sapiens (human). RNAcentral's name for it is "non-protein coding lnc-RNF24-3:1". The record is from RNAcentral. Lineage: Eukaryota; Metazoa; Chordata; Mammalia; Primates; Hominidae.
UUUUUUUUUUUUUUUUGCAUCAGAAAGCCUUAUUUCCAUUUGGUCCAAGGCUUGUUAGGGUAGUUAAGAAAGCUGCCUAUUGGCUGGAGGGAGAGGCUUAGGCAGAAGCCCUAUUACUUUGCAAGGGGCCCUUCAGAAGGCAUGAAGAUCCAAAAGGGCCUGGUUCAGCUUUUUCUCCAGGGCCAUGGCAGCUUUCAUGGCAUCUGGGGUUUUACCCCACUCAUCUUCAGCUGGCUUCUUGAUGUCCUGGAAGAGAGCGCGGCCGCCACGCUGGUUUUGCAUCUUCAGGAGACGCUCGUAGCCCUCGCGCUUCUCCUCGGUCAAUUCGCGGAAGAAGUGGCUCACGCCUUCCAGAGCCGCAUCAUCGCGGUCGAAAUAGAAGCCCAGAGAGAGGUAGGUGUAGGAGGCCUGCAGGUACAAAUUGACCAGGCUGUUGACGGCUGCCUCCACGUCGGUGGAAUAAUUUUGACGAAUCUGGGAGCUCAUGGUUGGUCGCCAAGAAGGAGCUAACGACAAAAACGGUGCUGGCAGGUCCCAGAAGCAGGAGAUAGCCGAGAAGAUGGUCCCGGAGGUUGCAAGUGGAGAGGAAAUUGGAGGGCGGUCGGAGGCUGGAAGACCGUCCCCGGAUCUGUUCCGUCCAAACACUGUUGAAGCAAGAGACAGACCCA